RNAcentral lists this microRNA (22 nucleotides) under Corchorus olitorius. RNAcentral describes it as "osa-miR227". RNAcentral also lists the same sequence under 1 other name. Lineage: Eukaryota; Viridiplantae; Streptophyta; Magnoliopsida; Malvales; Malvaceae. The record is from RNAcentral.
UUUAAUUUCCUCCAAUAUCUCA